GACGAACGCUGGCGGCGUGCCUAAUACAUGCAAGUUGAGCGCUGAAGGUUGGUACUUGUACCAACUGGAUGAGCAGCGAACGGGUGAGUAACGCGUGGGGAAUCUGCCUUUGAGCGGGGGACAACAUUUGGAAACGAAUGCUAAUACCGCAUAAAAACUUUAAACACAAGUUUUAAGUUUAAAAGAUGCAAUUGCAUCACUCAAAGAUGAUCCCGCGUUGUAUUAGCUAGUUGGUGAGGUAAAGGCUCACCAAGGCGAUGAUACAUAGCCGACCUGAGAGGGUGAUCGGCCACAUUGGGACUGAGACACGGCCCAAACGCCUACGGGAGGCAGCAGUAGGGAAUCUUCGGCAAUGGACGAAAGUCUGAACGAGCAACGCCGCGUGAGGGAAGAAGGGUUUCGGAUCGUAAAACUCUGUUGGUAGAGAAGAACGUUGGUGAGAGUGGAAAGCUCAUCAAGUGACGGUAACUACCCAGAAAGGGACGGCUAACUACGUG
RNAcentral lists this ribosomal RNA (497 nucleotides) under uncultured bacterium. Its description in RNAcentral is "partial 16S ribosomal RNA". It matches the Rfam family "Bacterial small subunit ribosomal RNA", at positions 28 to 507 of the family's 1533-position model. The record is from RNAcentral.